GUGGGGAAUAUUGGGCAAUGGGCGAAAGCCUGACCCAGCAACGCCGCGUGAGGGAAGAAGGUUUUCGGAUUGUAAACCUCUGUCCUUGGUGACGAACACAAUGACGGUAGCCAAGGAGGAAGCCCCGGCUAACUACGUGCCAGCAGCCGCGGUAAUACGUAGGGGGCAAGCGUUGUCCGGAAUGACUGGGCGUAAAGGGCGUGUAGGCGGCCGAUUAAGUCUGGAGUGAAAGUCCUGCUUUCAAGGUGGGAAUUGCUUUGGAGACUGGUUGGCUUGAGUGCGGAAGAGGCAAGUGGAAUUCGCAGUGUAGCGGUGAAAUGCGUAGAGAUUGGGAGGAACACCAGUGGCGAAGGGGACUUGCUGGGCCGUAACUGACGCUGAGGCGCGAAAGCGUGGGGAGCGAACAGGAUUAGAAACCCGAGUAGUCC
RNAcentral lists this ribosomal RNA (428 nucleotides) under uncultured bacterium. RNAcentral describes it as "partial 16S ribosomal RNA". It matches the Rfam family "Bacterial small subunit ribosomal RNA", at positions 354 to 796 of the family's 1533-position model. The record is from RNAcentral.